This is a non-coding RNA of Paramuricea clavata, 472 nucleotides long. The record is from the annotation of a GenBank genome assembly. Lineage: Eukaryota; Metazoa; Cnidaria; Anthozoa; Malacalcyonacea; Plexauridae.
CACGCUAGUAUACUGUAGUAGAAAAUUUCAAUUUUUCCCAGUAUCUUUUUACAAUAUUUAUCCACCAUAUUUAAUAAGUGUCAGACAGACAGACAGUCUAAAAUAAUCAGGCCUGGCCGUUUGAGGCGCGCGAUCGCGCGCGCGCGCCUCCGCACGCGCCUUGACUCCUCGAGACGCGCCUUUUAACGCGCGCCUCGUUUGUUUUAAGAGUACGAAAUCGCGCGUCUGGUUUUUUUAUUCUAAAUGAAUUUUUGCCAGAAUAAAUCCUGGCCAUUUAGACUAGUUAUAAAAGAAUGACUGAUUUAAUGCUGAUAAAAUGAAAUGAUAACUGCAUGCUGGUCGGCGAAGGAGCAUAAGGAGAAUCUUCAACGUGCAUUAGAAUUUCACAAGGAGAAAAAGACGCAAAGUCAAACUCGACAGCAACACCGUGGAUGAAGAAAUUCUGUUAAAAAAGUGUAGAAUUGAGAACGAC